RNAcentral lists this ribosomal RNA (263 nucleotides) under uncultured bacterium. RNAcentral describes it as "partial 16S ribosomal RNA". It matches the Rfam family "Bacterial small subunit ribosomal RNA", at positions 524 to 778 of the family's 1533-position model. The record is from RNAcentral.
UACGAAGGGGGCUAGCGUUGCUCGGAAUCACUGGGCGUAAAGCGCACGUAGGCGGCUUUCUAAGUCAGGGGUGAAAUCCCGGAGCUCAACUCCGGAACUGCCUUUGAUACUGGAAAGCUUGAGUUCGGGAGAGGUGAGUGGAACUGCGAGUGUAGAGGUGAAAUUCGUAGAUAUUCGCAAGAACACCAGUGGCGAAGGCGGCCUCAGCUGGACCCGAUACUGGACCGGCUGAGGUGCGGAAAGCGGUGGGGAGCAAAACAGGU